AUGCAAGCAUGUUCCUUAUUACUUGGUAGACCAUGGCAAUUUGAUAAAAAUUCUGUACACCAUGGUAGAAACAAUCACUAUACUCUUGUUCAUAAGGAUAAAAAUAUUACUUUGCUUCCUAUGACUCCUGAUUCCAUUUUGAAAGAUGAUAUUAAUAGAGCUAAUAAAGCAAAACAGGAGACGAAUAAGAGUGAAAAUCAGAUUGUGGCAAAAGAAUUUGAGCAACAAAUGAAGCCUAAUAAUAAACCAUCUAGUGUUGCUUCUGAAAUUAAAUUGGAAAGUGCAUGUUUAUUUGCCACCAAAUCUGAUAUUGAUGAGCUAGAUUUCAGCAAAUCUGUUUGCUAUGCUUUUGUGUGCAAAGAGGCAUUAUUUUCAUUCGAGGACGUGCCUUCCUCUUUGCCUCCUGCUAUCACUAACAUUUUGCAGGAGUUCGCUGACGUCUUUCCACAAGACGUGCCACCGGGAUUACCGCCUAUUCGAGGGAUUGAGCAUCAGAUUGACUUAAUUCCCGGUGCUUCACUGCCAAACCGUGCACCAUACCGUACCAAUCCAGAGGAGACGAAGGAGAUUAUGCGUCAAGUACAAGAGCUUCUCGCAAAGGUUUUAUACGCGAAUCCCUCAGUCCUUGUGCUGUUCCUAUUAUUCUAG
This 648-nucleotide ribosomal RNA is filed under the name Triticum aestivum (bread wheat). RNAcentral's name for it is "partial small subunit ribosomal RNA". Lineage: Eukaryota; Viridiplantae; Streptophyta; Magnoliopsida; Poales; Poaceae. The record is from RNAcentral.